This 437-nucleotide ribosomal RNA is filed under the name uncultured bacterium. RNAcentral describes it as "partial 16S ribosomal RNA". It matches the Rfam family "Bacterial small subunit ribosomal RNA", at positions 29 to 507 of the family's 1533-position model. The record is from RNAcentral.
AGCGAACGCUGGCGGCAGGCUUAGCACAUGCAAGUCGAGCGGGCAUCCUUGUGGUGUCAGCGGCAGACGGGUGAGUAACGCGUGGGAACGUGCCCUUCGGUUCGGAAUAACUCAGGGAAACUUGAGCUAAUACCGGAUACGUGCGAGAGCAGAAAGGUUUAUCUGCCGAAGGAUCGGCCCGCGUCUGAUUAGCUAGUUGGUGAGGUUACGGCUCACCAAGGCGACGAUCAGUAGCUGGUCUGAGAGGAUGAUCAGCCACACUGGGACUGAGACACGGCCCAGACUCCUACGGGAAGCAGCAGUGGGGAAUAUUGGACAAUGGGGGCAACCCUGAUCCAGCCAUGCCGCGUGAGUGAUGACGGCCUUAGGGUUGUAAAGCUCUUUUCUCCGGGACGAUAAUGACGGUACCGGAGGAAUAAGCCCCGGCUAACUUCGUG